GGGGAUGAAAGGAUUUCGACGGGGAUUUUGAACCUUAAUUAGAGAGUGGCGGAAAACUCUUUAAAAGCCGCAAAAUUAAAAUAACUAACAAUAACGAAGUUAAACUCGCUGCUUAAAUAGCAGCCGUCCCUGCCGGGAGGACCGCGAACCGGUUUGGGGCGUGAUUUAGCGGUGAACGCGAACGGAUGAGCGCCUUGUAAUCCGUCGUGAUUUAAAGGCUACCGUAGCAUAAAGCCUGCCGUUUGGCGUUAUGUGAGGGGAAUCCCAAAAAAGCGGAUACGCUCGUAGAAGGUUAUGGGAAUAGGUUUUCGGACGCGGUUUCGAGUACCGCCAUCUCCACCA
RNAcentral lists this transfer-messenger RNA (342 nucleotides) under Firmicutes bacterium ADurb.Bin300. Its description in RNAcentral is "transfer-messenger RNA, SsrA". It matches the Rfam family "transfer-messenger RNA". Rfam says of the family: Bacterial tmRNA, also known as 10Sa RNA or SsrA, is named for its dual tRNA and mRNA-like properties. Lineage: Bacteria; Bacillati; Bacillota. RNAcentral also lists the same sequence under 1 other name. The record is from RNAcentral.